UACGUAGGGGGCAAGCGUUGUCCGGAAUCAUUGGGCGUAAAGAGCGCGUAGGCGGCCCUGUAAGUCCGCUGUGAAAGUCAAGGGCUCAACCCUUGGAUGCCGGUGGAUACUGCAGGGCUAGAGUCCGGAAGAGGCGAGUGGAAUUCCUGGUGUAGCGGUGAAAUGCGCAGAUAUCAGGAGGAACACCGAUGGCGAAGGCAGCUCGCUGGGACGGUGACUGACGCUGAGGCGCCGAAAGCGUGGGGAGCAAACAGG
Molecule: ribosomal RNA, 255 nt
Filed under: uncultured bacterium
Lineage: Bacteria
Description: partial 16S ribosomal RNA
Rfam family: Bacterial small subunit ribosomal RNA
Source: RNAcentral